This 503-nucleotide ribosomal RNA is filed under the name uncultured bacterium. RNAcentral describes it as "bacterial SSU rRNA". It matches the Rfam family "Bacterial small subunit ribosomal RNA", at positions 30 to 504 of the family's 1533-position model. The record is from RNAcentral.
CGAACGCUGGCGGCGUGCCUAACACAUGCAAGUCGAACGAGAAAGCACCUUCGGGUGUGAGUACAGUGGCGCACGGGUGAGUAACACGUGGGUAAUCUACCCUUGGGUCUGGGAUAACACUUCGAAAGGGGUGCUAAUACCGGCAAAGGAGACCACGGCCUGUUAGCAGGCAGUGGCUAAAGGUGGCCUCUCCAUGGAAGCUAUCGCCCGAGGAUGAGUCCGCGCCCCAUCAGCUUGUUGGUAGGGUAACGGCCUACCAAGGCUUAGACGGGUAGCUGGUCUGAGAGGAUGGUCAGCCACACUGGAACUGAGACACGGUCCAGACUCCUACGGGAGGCAGCAGUGGGGAAUAUUGCGCAAUGGGCGAAAGCCUGACGCAGCGACGCCGCGUGAGCGAUGAAGGCCCUCGGGUCGUAAAGCUCUGUAGGAAAGGAACGAACAAGUUUGGGGAACAAUACCCCCAGGCCCUGACGGUACCUUUCCAGAAAGCACCGGCUAACUCC